UGAGGAAUAUUGCGCAAUGGGCGAAAGCCUGACGCAGCGACGCCGCGUGGAGGAUGAAGGUUUUCGGAUUGUAAACUCCUGUUAAGUGGGAAGAAACGACAAAAUAUAAUACAUUUUGUAACUGACGGUACCAUUAAAGAAAGCACCGGCUAACUUCGUGCCAGCAGCCGCGGUAAUACGAGGGGUGCAAGCGUUAUUCGGAAUUAUUGGGCGUAAAGGGUGCGUAGGCGGCGUAUUAAGUCAACUGUUAAAACCUCCAGCCUAACUGGAGAUCAGCAGUAGAUACUGGUAUGCUAGAGGAUGGAAGAGAGAAGUGGAAUUCUUGGAGUAGCGGUGGAAUGCGUAGAUCUCAAGAGGAACACCAAUGGCGAAGGCAGCUUCUUGGUCCAUAUCUGACGCUGAUGCACGAAAGCGUGGGGGAGCAAAACAGGAUUAGAUACCCUGGUAGUCCACGCCGUAAACGAUGAUCACUAGAUGUUAAUUCUGCUUGCAGAAUUAGUGUCGUAGCUAACGCGAUAAGUGAUCCGCCUGGGGGACUACGGUCGCAAGAUUAAAACUCAAA
RNAcentral lists this ribosomal RNA (562 nucleotides) under uncultured bacterium. RNAcentral's name for it is "partial 16S ribosomal RNA". It matches the Rfam family "Bacterial small subunit ribosomal RNA", at positions 355 to 905 of the family's 1533-position model. The record is from RNAcentral.